Molecule: unclassified non-coding RNA, 329 nt
Filed under: soil metagenome
Description: partial contains 5.8S ribosomal RNA, internal transcribed spacer 2, and large subunit ribosomal RNA
Rfam family: 5.8S ribosomal RNA (bases 2-120)
Source: RNAcentral
UAUGAAGAACGCAGUGAAAUGCGAUAAGUAAUGUGAAUUGCAGAAUUCAGUGAAUCAUCGAAUCUUUGAACGCACAUUGCGCCCCUUGGUAUUCCGAGGGGCAUGCCUGUUCGAGCGUCAUUAUAACCCCUCAAGCUCAGCUUGGUGUUGGGGCCUGCUGCACUGGCAGCCCUUAAAAUCAGUGGCGGCGCCAUCUGGCUCUAAGCGUAGUAAUUCUUCUCGCUAUGGAGUCCUGGUGGAUGCUUGCCAUCAACCCCCAAUUUUUCUAUGGUUGACCUCGGAUCAGGUAGGGAUACCCGCUGAACUUAAGCAUAUCAAUAAGCGGAGGA